RNAcentral lists this ribosomal RNA (1459 nucleotides) under metagenome. Its description in RNAcentral is "bacterial LSU rRNA". It matches the Rfam family "Bacterial large subunit ribosomal RNA", at positions 1448 to 2925 of the family's 2925-position model. The record is from RNAcentral.
GCAUCAUCAGAACUGUGGGGACACAGAAGGACAACACAUCCCGGGAAUGGGAAUACCGGGGCAAGCGGGGUAGGGGUACGGCUGGCAAAUCCGCCGUGCAACCCGAAGACGUGACGCGGAGCGAACUGAAGUAGCGAAGUGUGUGAUUCCGGCUGUCAAGAAAAGCCGCUAUCGUGUGAUGCAUGCCCGUACCGUAAACCGACACAGGUGGAUGAGGAGAGAAUCCUAAGGCCGGCGGGAGAAGCAUUGUUAAGGAACUCGGCAAAAUGACCCCGUAACUUCGGGAGAAGGGGUGCCACAGAGAUGUGGCCGCAGAGAAUAGGCUCAAGCAACUGUUUAGCAAAAACACAGGUCUAUGCAAAACCGAAAGGUGAGGUAUAUGGGCUGACGCCUGCCCGGUGCUGGAAGGUUAAGAGGAGAGGUUAGCGCAAGCGAAGCUUUGAAUUUAAGCCCCAGUAAACGGCGGCCGUAACUAUAACGGUCCUAAGGUAGCGAAAUUCCUUGUCGGGUAAGUUCCGACCCGCACGAAAGGCGUAAUGAUUUGAGCGCUGUCUCAACAAUGCACCCGGUGAAAUUGAAAUACCAGUGAAGAUGCUGGUUACCUGCGCCAGGACGGAAAGACCCCAUGGAGCUUUACUCCAGCUUGAUACUGGGAUUCGAUAUUGCAUGUACAGGAUAGGUGGGAGACUAGGAAGCGGUGACGCCAGUUGCCGCAGAGUCGCUGUUGGGAUACCACCCUUGCAGUAUUGGAUUUCUAACCAGCAGCCGUGAACCGGCUGGGGGACAAUGUCAGGUGGGGAGUUUGACUGGGGCGGUCGCCUCCGAAAGGGUAUCGGAGGCGCUCAAAGGUUCCCUCAGAAUGGUUGGAAACCAUUCGAAGAGUGCAAAGGCAGAAGGGAGCUUGACUGCGACACCGACGGGUGGAGCAGGUACGAAAGUAGGACUUAGUGAUCCGGUGGUAUAAAGUGGGAUUGCCAUCGCUCAACGGAUAAAAGCUACCCUGGGGAUAACAGGCUUAUCACUCCCAAGAGUUCACAUCGACGGAGUGGUUUGGCACCUCGAUGUCGGCUCAUCGCAUCCUGGGGCUGAAGUAGGUCCCAAGGGUUGGGCUGUUCGCCCAUUAAAGCGGUACGCGAGCUGGGUUCAGAACGUCGUGAGACAGUUCGGUCCCUAUCCGGCGUGGGCGUAGGAUAUUUGAGAGGAGCUGACCUUAGUACGAGAGGACCGGGUUGGACUGGCCGCUGGUGAAUCUGUUGUUCUACCAAGAGCAUGGCAGAGUAGCCAAGCCGGGAAGGGAUAAACGCUGAAGGCAUCUAAGCGUGAAGCCCCCCUCAAGAUGAGAUAUCCCAUAACGUCAAGUUAGUAAGACCCCUUGAAGACGACGAGGUAGAUAGGGCAGAGGUGGAAGUGUGGUAACACAUGGAGCUGACUGUUACUAAUAGGUCGAGGGCAUAACCAA